AUUGAACGCUGGCGGCAGGCCUAACACAUGCAAGUCGAGCGGAUGAAGGGAGCUUGCUCCUGGAUUCAGCGGCGGACGGGUGAGUAAUGCCUAGGAAUCUGCCUGGUAGUGGGGGAUAACGUCCGGAAACGGGCGCUAAUACCGCAUACGUCCUGAGGGAGAAAGUGGGGGAUCUUCGGACCUCACGCUAUCAGAUGAGCCUAGGUCGGAUUAGCUAGUUGGUGGGGUAAAGGCCUACCAAGGCGACGAUCCGUAACUGGUCUGAGAGGAUGAUCAGUCACACUGGAACCUAGACACGGUCCCGACUCCUACGGGAGGCAGCAGUGGGGAAUAUUUGACAAUUGGCCAAAGCCCUAUCCAGCCAUGCCGCGGGGGGGAAGAAGGUCCUCCGAUUGGUAAGCACUUUAAGUUGGGAAGAAGGGCAGUAAGUUAAUACCUUGCCUUUUUGACGUUAACAACAGAAUAAGCACCGGCUAACUUCGUG
RNAcentral lists this ribosomal RNA (484 nucleotides) under uncultured bacterium. RNAcentral describes it as "partial 16S ribosomal RNA". It matches the Rfam family "Bacterial small subunit ribosomal RNA", at positions 30 to 507 of the family's 1533-position model. The record is from RNAcentral.